AGCCGCUCUCUCUCUUCUCUCGCCCUCUCAUUCUUCUCUUCGUCAAUCCUUUCAGUUUUCUCAUCGUCAUAGUGAAUUCGAGAUCCCAAGGACUAGAUCGAUCAAGCUCACGAGGCUAAGGUCUCUGUUGGGUCAUGAAGACCAGAUCGAUGGCCAGGGAUCUGAGCGGGAUAGUGAAGGAGAUUCUCUCGGCCGGGUGUCGGGUCGAAGGCAAGGAUCUCUAGGAUUUUCAUCGGAGAUUACCCAGGAGAUUUUCAUCUACCAAUCUUUAUAUUCCUCAGUGAUACGUCUUCUGCACCUUGGUGCUUGGUAUCUCAAUGCCGAAAGACCUAGCUUGAAACAUCAAAGGAAAUGGAAAUCAGAUCCAGAUUGCUGUUGAAGCUGAUGAUGUCUUCAAAAUUGCUUGCUGCUUAGCUUUUUCUAGACCAAGAUGGUUGGAAAACUUAUCAAAAUUGUUAGAUUCUUUUAUGUUGGUGGAAGCUGCUUUAGCAGAGCAUGAAAUUUCUGGCAGGUGGAAUGAAGAGCUCUUACCAUCUGGCAGUACAAAUUACAGAAUCAACUCAAGCUGGGGAACUAACCAAUGGUUCGAAAUUGAUGACAAUAAUUUCAAUUUAAUCAUUGAACAAGUGGCAACUGUGAAACUAGUCAAGCUUUUGGUACCUCUUGUGAGUACUUUCCAAUACGAAGGAGAUCAUGAACGUUACAGACUUACAGUGGCGAAAGAGAGGCCAAGACUUCAUGAGAAAACCCAAGGACAAACACUACAAUGAUGAGGAGCUUGUCAUGAUCAUCACUACCUGAUGGUCUUUCAAUUGUUUUUGGGUCUUUCAAUUGUUGACGGGCUGUUCUUUUUAUUUUUAUUUAUUUUUAUAUCAAAAUGGCUCCAAUGGCCUUCAUUCCUAGUUUCUUAA
Rosa chinensis is the source of this 911-nucleotide long non-coding RNA. RefSeq lists it as uncharacterized. Lineage: Eukaryota; Viridiplantae; Streptophyta; Magnoliopsida; Rosales; Rosaceae. The transcript is spliced from 7 exons. The record is from RefSeq and is a predicted model, not a curated record.